GAUGAACGCUGGCGGCGUGCCUAAUACAUGCAAGUCGAGCGAACAGACGAGGAGCUUGCCCCUCUGACGUUAGCGGCGGACGGGUGAGUAACACGUGGAUAACCUACCUAUAAGACUGGGAUAACUUCGGGAAACCGGAGCUAAUACCGGAUAAUAUAUUGAACCGCAUGGUUCAAUAGUGAAAGACGGUUUUGCUGUCACUUAUAGAUGGAUCCGCGCCGCAUUAGCUAGUUGGUAAGGUAACGGCUUACCAAGGCAACGAUGCGUAGCCGACCUGAGAGGGUGAUCGGCCACACUGGAACUGAGACACGGUCCAGACUCCUACGGGAGGCAGCAGUAGGGAAUCUUCCGCAAUGGGCGAAAGCCUGACGGAGCAACGCCGCGUGAGUGAUGAAGGUCUUCGGAUCGUAAAACUCUGUUAUUAGGGAAGAACAAAUGUGUAAGUAACUAUGCACGUCUUGACGGUACCUAAUCAGAAAGCCACGGCUAACUACGU
Molecule: ribosomal RNA, 496 nt
Filed under: uncultured bacterium
Lineage: Bacteria
Description: partial 16S ribosomal RNA
Rfam family: Bacterial small subunit ribosomal RNA
Source: RNAcentral